UGAAUACGAGACGCUAAGGCGUCGAAGUAGUGUAUGUCAUACUUCCAAGAAAAGCUUGCACUGUCAUAAGUAAAAAAUGCCUGUACCAUAACCGACACAGGUGGGUAGGUAGAGUAUACUAAGGGGCGCGAGAUAACUCUCUCUAAGGAACUCGGCAAAAUAACUCCGUAACUUCGGGAGAAGGAGUACCUUAUUCUAUAAGGUUGCAAUAACAAGAUCCAAGCAACUGUUUAUCAAAAACACAGGUCUCCGCUAAGUCGUAAGACGAUGUAUGGGGGCUGACGCCUGCCCAGUGCCAGAAGGUUAAAGAAGUCGGUUAGCAUUAGCGAAGCUGGUAACUGAAGCCCUGGUGAACGGCGGCCGUAACGAUAACGGUCCUAAGGUAGCGAAAUUCCUUGUCGGGUAAGUUCCGACCCGCACGAAAGGCGUAAUGAUUUGGAUACUGUCUCGGAGAGGGGCUCGGUGAAAUAGACUUGUCUGUGAAGAUGCGGACUACCUGCACCAGGACAGAAAGACCCUAUGAAGCUUUACUGUAACUUGAAAUUGAAAUUGGACUUUAUUCGCGCAGUAUAGGUGGGAGGUGUUGAUUAUAAUCUUGCGGGAUUAUUGGAGCCAUCAGUGAGAUACCACUCUUGUAAUGUUAGAUUUCUAACUUUGAAUCAUUAUCUGGUCAAAGGACAGUUUCAGGCGGGCGGUUUGACUGGGGCGGUCGCCUCCCAAACGGUAACGGAGGCGUACAAAGGUUUCCUCUGAACGGGUAGAAAUCGUAUCUAGAGUGUAAAGGCAUAAGGAAGCUUGACUGUGAGACCUACAAGUCGAACAGGGACGAAAGUCGGUCUUAGUGAUCUGACGGUACUGAGUGGAAAGGCCGUCACUCAACGGAUAAAAGUUACUCUAGGAUAACAGGCUGAUCUCCCCCAAGAGUUCACAUCGACGGGGAGGUUUGGCACCUCGAUGUCGGCUCAUCGCAUCCUGGGGCGGUAGUACGUCCCAAGGGUUGGGCUGUUCGCCCAUGAAAGCGGUACGCGAGCUGGGUUCAAAACGUCGUGAGACAGUUCGGUCCAUAUCCGGUGUAGGCGUUAGAAUAUUGAGAGGAGCCUUCUUUAGUACGAGAGGACCGAGAAGGACAUACCUCUGGUGUACCAGUUAUCGUGCCAACGGUAAACGCUGGGUAGCUAUGUAUGGAGUGGAUAACCGCUGAAAGCAUCUAAGUGGGAAGCCCACCUCAAGAUAAGUAUUCUCA
Molecule: ribosomal RNA, 1243 nt
Filed under: metagenome
Description: bacterial LSU rRNA
Rfam family: Bacterial large subunit ribosomal RNA
Source: RNAcentral